AUGCUUCAUGCUAGUAUGAUUUCCCCAUUCGAUGAUUUACCCAUUUAUGAUGAGUAUGAUGAUUGCCAUGUGGAGUCUAUUAGUUGUGAUGCCAUGUUACAUAUGAUUUCUUGUGCUAAUUCUCUCGGUCACAUCAUGUUUGCCAAUCCGCUUGACUUGUCAUAUGCUAUGCAUGAGAUCAAUCAUAUGUCAUAUUUGCAAUCUCUUCAUAGUGACUAUGCAUAUGCCAUUCAGAUUAACCCAAUUUGCACAUAUGGCAUAGAUGACAAGCCUAUGGUUAUUGGCAUUUGUUUCUCUUGUGAUGAUAUUGACAUGCUACCUUUGCAUUAUUUAUCUCAUAUGCCAUGCCAUGACCACCUAGCUUCGGAUAUGCAUUGUUUUCGAUAUUGUUCAUUUUCUCCAUAUGAUGUUCCCAUUAUUGCUCAUGAGGAGACCCCCAUAGUUUCCUCAUACAUGUUUGGAGAUUUUGUUCACUCCCACCCAUUGCAUGAUCGCAAUACUUGUAUGCACAAUAUGCUUCCCAUGAAUAAACAUGCUAUUGUUGUACCAUAUACUUGUAUGCUCAAUUUGCAUCCCCAUCAUGUUAUACACAAUAACUAUUCUUUCAUGAUGGAUGACAUGUUCUUAUAA
This 630-nucleotide ribosomal RNA is filed under the name Triticum aestivum (bread wheat). RNAcentral's name for it is "partial small subunit ribosomal RNA". Lineage: Eukaryota; Viridiplantae; Streptophyta; Magnoliopsida; Poales; Poaceae. The record is from RNAcentral.